UGCUACCUACGGGGCGCAGCAGUGAGGAAUAUUGGUCAAUGGACGAGAGUCUGAACCAGCCAAGUAGCGUGAAGGAUGACUGCCCUAUGGGUUGUAAACUUCUUUUAUAUGGGAAUAAAACGUUCCACGUGUGGGAUUUUGUAUGUACCAUAUGAAUAAGGAUCGGCUAACUCCGUGCCAGCAGCCGCGGUAAUACGGAGGAUCCGAGCGUUAUCCGGAUUUAUUGGGUUUAAAGGGUGCGCAGGCGGAUUUUUAAGUCAGCGGUCAAAUCGUGGGGCUCAACCUCAUCCAGCCGUUGAAACUGG
RNAcentral lists this ribosomal RNA (305 nucleotides) under uncultured bacterium. Its description in RNAcentral is "bacterial SSU rRNA". It matches the Rfam family "Bacterial small subunit ribosomal RNA", at positions 333 to 636 of the family's 1533-position model. The record is from RNAcentral.